RNAcentral lists this ribosomal RNA (743 nucleotides) under uncultured organism. RNAcentral describes it as "bacterial SSU rRNA". It matches the Rfam family "Bacterial small subunit ribosomal RNA", at positions 91 to 848 of the family's 1533-position model. The record is from RNAcentral.
GACAGUGGCGCAAUGGUGAGUAACACGUGAGUAAUCUGCCCCGAAGUCCGGGAUAGCCCAUGGAAACGUGGAUUAUUACCGGAUGUGGCUGUAUGAACUGCGGUUUUAACAGUUAAAGAUUCAUUGCUUCGGGAUGAGCUCGCGGUCCAUCAGCUUGUUGGUGAGGUAAUGGCUCACCAAAGCGACGACGGAUAGCUGGUCUGAGAGGAUGACCAGUCACACUGGGACUGAGACACUGCCCAGACUCCUACGGGAGGCUGCAGUCGAGAAUCUUCCGCAAUGGGCGCAAGCCUGACGGAGCAAUGCUGCGUGCCGGAUGAAGGCCUUCGGGUCGUAAACGGCUGUCACUCGGGACGAAUUUUGACGGUACCGAGAGAGGAAGCCACGGCUAACUACGUGCCAGCAGCCGCGGUAAUACGUAGGUGGCGAGCGUUAUUCGGAAUUAUUGGGCCUAGAGGGUUCGUAGGGGGUAAUGUAAGUCCGGUGUGAAAUCUCGAGGCUCAACCUCGAAACUGCAUUGGAAACUGCGUUACUUGAGUGUCAGAGAGGAAAGCGGAAUUCCUGGUGUAGCGGUGGAAUGCGUAGAUAUCAGGAAGAACACCGACGGCGAAGGCAGCUUUCUGGCUGACAACUGACCCUGAUGAACGAAAGCUAGGGUAGCGAACCAGGAUUAGAUACCCUGGUAGUCCUAGCUGUAAACGUUGUGCCACUGGAUGUGGGCGGAUCUGGUCCCGUCUGUGUCU